GCAGUGCAGUGUGCGCAGUGUCAGUCUGUGUCUGAUGGAGCAGAGUGUUGGCGUGCUGCUAGCGCUCUGCUCCGUUCACACAAAUCCUGCAGCCGGAGAUUGAACAUGAGAUCAUAGUACUGGUCUAGUGCCCGUCCUUUGGACGCUUUACCCCACUGGCCAGCCUCCAAACUCUCACACAUGU
This is a small nucleolar RNA of Rana temporaria (common frog), 184 nucleotides long. RefSeq annotates it as small nucleolar RNA SNORA23. NCBI's taxonomy places the organism in Eukaryota, Metazoa, Chordata, Amphibia, Anura, Ranidae. The transcript has a single exon. The record is from RefSeq and is a predicted model, not a curated record.